This 85-nucleotide transfer RNA is filed under the name Solobacterium sp. Its description in RNAcentral is "tRNA-Leu". It matches the Rfam family "tRNA". Rfam says of the family: Transfer RNA (tRNA) molecules are approximately 80 nucleotides in length. Their secondary structure includes four short double-helical elements and three loops (D, anti-codon, and T loops). Lineage: Bacteria; Bacillati; Bacillota; Erysipelotrichia; Erysipelotrichales; Erysipelotrichaceae. The record is from RNAcentral.
GCACCAGUGGUGGAAUCGGCAGACACGUACGCUUGAGGGGCGUAUGGGGCGACCCGUGCAGGUUCAAGUCCUGUCUGGUGCACCA